RNAcentral lists this ribosomal RNA (2315 nucleotides) under Triticum aestivum (bread wheat). Its description in RNAcentral is "partial small subunit ribosomal RNA". The record is from RNAcentral. Lineage: Eukaryota; Viridiplantae; Streptophyta; Magnoliopsida; Poales; Poaceae.
CCGCGCGAGGGCUCCUUCGCCUCCUCCCGGGCCCGCGUUAAAGUGUUUCAAGGCCCCUCCUACGGCUAUCUCUACGGCGCCCCCGAGGGGAAGCGGCACCUGUGCACCCCGGGGAGGAGGGCGGCGGCCGCGGUGGCGAAGGAGUGGGUGCGCGUGGCCCUGGUGGAGCAGCCGCGGCGGCCCCGGCCGGGGCCUCCUCCUCCCCCGCGGGAGAUGCGGUGGGCGGAGUGGAACAGGGAGCGGGAGGCGGUGAAGGGGGUCGACCUGGUCCCCCUCAAACACCUCCAGCUCCACCCCUCCUGCAAGUUCCACCUGCUGGGGCGGCCGCGGAAGAGGCAGUGGCGCAUGCUACGGUUGGUGACGGGACCCCGUCAAUACAAGAACAAACUCCCACUUAAGCCAUCGUAUGACGUGUGCCCACUGACGGCUGACUGUGGUCUAACACGAGUCUUGAACGGUGACUUUAUGUAUCGUUUCUUUCCCUUUCUGUUACAAACAGCAAAUCUGAAGCACAAGGACCUGACGUGUAAAAGGUUUACGAAGGAGUUUGAUGGUUCGUUCCUCAACCGUUAGGUCGUCCAAUAUCGAACAUAUACCUUCGUAGGCCUACGUGGAAAACAUAUAGAACGAACACUGGAAGAACCAGUGCUUCUCUAGGAUCAACUCCACAAGUCCUGCAAACCUAGCUUUUAAAUACAACUGUGCUCUUCCUUAAGUCUAACAAAAUUUCGCGACAGUGAGUGUCGGGGACUCUAGUAGUGACUACUAGGUAGAACAGCGAAAGUCUAUCAACCUAAGGUGGUAAACAUACUAUUACGUUCAUUUUUCGAACUUCCCCGUUCCCGAUCAGAAGUCGGCCUCGGAAAUAAGUAGGCGGGGAGUUGCGUCACCAUACGGACACCGGCUUUGGUCUUUGGGUCGGAUUGUCUUCGAGUCGUCCUACUAAAACCCUAGACCGUACAGACAAAGAGGUAAGUGAGAAGGGCCCUGCUCAACCUCGUCCGCUACGUUGAAGAAGUUGGAGUUACCCAGUAGAGUUGUUGAGGGGGUACGAAACGGUACCUCGACUCGAUACACUUCUUUGUAACAAAGUUCUGAGCGAACUGUUGAUUACUAGGUAACACCUUCUAUAAGUCCCUAGGAGAAGUUUUCAGUCAUUGGAGCGGGAGUAGCCACGAACGAAGAACGUGCGUCGGUCUACUUCAAGAGAGUUGAAAACAACUACUACUAGUAGGUUGAAGACGGUCACUUCUUACGUGUCUAAAACUACAGUCGUGUGAACUUGACGUUAAACACGGUAGGGGAGGUCAACUUCUUGGUCUAUAAUGUAACAAACCUUCUCGUUCUAAACCAAGAGUUCGCUAACUGUAUUACUUUCUUCUCAACACGGUGGUCAUGUAACGACGUCGACUUGUUUGGUCUAAAACACGUGGCCUUCUAAACGAAGUACUAUCGUCGGUUUUACAACUUUGUAUAAGACCAUACCUAAACUAGUGUUUCGUUCGGGGUCGAAGGGUUGUUCUAACACCCCUUCGACCUCUACACCGGGGGAGGACAGUCACACGGCUUCGACCUCUACACCGGGGAAGGAGAGUCACAUUUCGUGGUGGGGGUUGGUAUGGUCUUCGUAAACGUCAAGUUGGAAACGGAUGACAACUUGUGUUAUAUAGUCAUCACAGACUAGUUGGUCUUUUCAGACUGUAAUAUUAUCUCGGUUAUAGAUGUUCGUGAUGCCUUUCAAGUUCGGAAGCGUACCAGUCUUUACGUGUUCAUUGUCUUACAGUUUGCCUGGUGGACACACAGUAACCUAGUAGCUUUAGAAACGUACGUUCAGACUUCUCCGACAUGUCUAGCUCCUUACAGGGACAGGGCGUAGGAGAGGGCAGAGAACAACCUGAAAACCUUAGGUGAUUUGCCCAGUUUUCCGCUGGACCGAGACUAAUAUCGAACAACUUAAGUGCCGUGUCGGAUGGAACUUCUAUUCUAGCUCGAAUAUGGAACGGAAGUUAUACUCUAUAUAAAAUAUCGUGUAUGCUGUUUAUAUCUGUUUAUACCUGGCACUUCAUAAGUCUAAGAACUCUAAUAUCACAACGGUUGAUUUAAUGAAGUUGCUUAUAUAGACCUCUCGUAUACACACAAACAUAAACUAUAUACCCAAAACUUUACAAUACAACAUGUAGUUCGACAACAUUAAAGUGUUCUAAUGAGACACUCUAUUUAUUUCCAAAAAGAAGAUGGUAAAAAAACCAUCUUCGGACACCGGUUUGACGACGGUUGAUGAGAUAACCAAUAUUCUUUUAGACCCACCUGAAAAC